Molecule: unclassified non-coding RNA, 174 nt
Filed under: Agrobacterium tumefaciens
Lineage: Bacteria; Pseudomonadati; Pseudomonadota; Alphaproteobacteria; Hyphomicrobiales; Rhizobiaceae
Source: RNAcentral
UGUUUUGCUAAACACCUUGAUUGUUUUGAACGGUCUGAUGGGCUUCCCAUACAGACCGCUAGGUCGUCGCCGAUCGUUCGGCGCGCCGUCCGCAGGCCUUCGGCCGUGAGGACAGAACAAAACCCGGUAUGUCCGGGUUCGAGGGUUCAGCGAAAGAGGUUUCUAGAUAUCGCA